This 119-nucleotide ribosomal RNA is filed under the name Chinchilla lanigera (long-tailed chinchilla). The record is from RNAcentral. Lineage: Eukaryota; Metazoa; Chordata; Mammalia; Rodentia; Chinchillidae.
GUCUACGGCCAUACCACGCUGAACGCACCCGAUCUCGUCUGAUCUCGGAAGCUAACCAGGGUCGGGCCUGGUUAGUACCUGGCUGGGAGACAAUGUUGGUUCUGCCUGGCCAGGAGCCU